This 497-nucleotide ribosomal RNA is filed under the name uncultured bacterium. RNAcentral's name for it is "partial 16S ribosomal RNA". It matches the Rfam family "Bacterial small subunit ribosomal RNA", at positions 28 to 508 of the family's 1533-position model. The record is from RNAcentral.
GAUGAACGCUGGCGGCGUGCCUAAUACAUGCAAGUCGAGCGAACAGAUAAGGAGCUUGCUCCUUUGACGUUAGCGGCGGACGGGUGAGUAACACGUGGGUAACCUACCUAUAAGACUGGGAUAACUUCGGGACACCGGAGCUAAUGCCGGCUAAUAUUUCGAACCGCAUGGUUCGAUAGUGUACGCUGGUUUUGCUAUCACUUAUAGAUGGACCCGCGCCGUAUUAGCUAGUAGGUAAGGCAACGGCUGAACCAGGCGGCGAUGCGUAGCCGUCCUGAGCGGGCGAGCGGCCACAGUGGGACUGAGACACGGUCCAGGGUCCUCCGGGGGGGAGCCGUGGGGAAUCUCCGGCAAGGGGCGAAGGCCUGAGGGAGAAACGCCGCGCGUGGGACGAUGGCCUCCGGAUCUUAAAGCCUCUUUGUGGGGGAAGACAACUUGGGGAGGUAACGGGCCGCGCCAGGACGGUACCCGAUCAGAAAGCUGCGGCGACCUCCGGC